GAAAUAAUGAACUCCUCCAAGGCAAGAAAUCUGUUUUGAAGCUUCUCUGCGUUCACACACAGCAGCCUGGUUUCCUGGAAGGGCAUUUUCCACAUUGUGCGUUAUGGAUGAUCAUCCCAGGCAUCAGGUGUGAAGCCCUGCAUCCACAUCCAGGGGCUAUCAAAUCUCUCUGCAAAAGGAGAAGCUGGACUCAGGCACGUUUACAGUGAUGUGUAUGCAGGGUAUGCACAGAUGUGGAAACAGGAACUGAUGUGUCCAUUACACCACUAGGACAGAGGCCAGAACAAUGAAGAAACCAAAUACUUGGAAGAGGGUAGAGAUAAUGAAUGGAGUCCAAGAGCCCUGAUUGUGCCAUAAAUGUCCAGAUAAUUCCAUACCUGAGGAUUAUGUGG
This 392-nucleotide long non-coding RNA is filed under the name Homo sapiens (human). RNAcentral's name for it is "non-protein coding GAPLINC:12". The record is from RNAcentral. Lineage: Eukaryota; Metazoa; Chordata; Mammalia; Primates; Hominidae.